AGUGAACGCUGGCGGUAGGCCUAACACAUGCAAGUCAAACGGCAGCCCAGUAAGGGCUUGCUCUUCCGGGUGCCGGGUGGCGGCCGGGUGAGGAAUACAUCGGAAUCUACUUUUUCGUGGGGGAUAACGUAGGGAAACUUACGCUAAUACCGCAUCCGCCCUACGGGUGAAAGCAGGGGAUCUUCGACCCUGGCGCGAUUGAAUGAGCCGAUGUCGGAUUAGCUAGUUGGCGGGGUAAAGGCCCACCAAGGCGACGAUCCGUAGCUGGUCUGAGAGGAUGAUCAGCCACACUGGAACUGAGACACGGUCCAGACUCCUACGGGAGGCAGCAGUGGGGAAUAUUGGACAAUGGGCGCAAGCCUGAUCCAGCCAUACCGCGUGGGUGAAGAAGGCCUUCGGGUUGUAAAGCCCUUUUGUUGGGAAAGAAAAGCAGCAGGUUAAUACCCCGCUGUUCUGACGGUACCCAAAGAAUAGGCACCGGCUAACUUCGUG
This 492-nucleotide ribosomal RNA is filed under the name uncultured bacterium. Its description in RNAcentral is "partial 16S ribosomal RNA". It matches the Rfam family "Bacterial small subunit ribosomal RNA", at positions 29 to 507 of the family's 1533-position model. The record is from RNAcentral.